RNAcentral lists this long non-coding RNA (4155 nucleotides) under Vigna radiata. RNAcentral's name for it is "long non-coding RNA (VRAD_LNC008885)". The record is from RNAcentral. Lineage: Eukaryota; Viridiplantae; Streptophyta; Magnoliopsida; Fabales; Fabaceae.
GGUUUUAUUUCUUUGUAAGUAACACAUUCAGCUUUCAAUAAUAAACAGUUUUUACCUUUACGAUUGCUCUCACCUCUUCCGCGCUUCUUCUUUCUCUCUUCUGUUUCUGGUUUUCUUUCCCGUUGGUUGAUCUCUUGUCUCCUUCGUUGCCGGACCACCAUGGAUGUCUUGUUGAUGAAGAUCUCUCUCGAACACGCCUCGAAUGUCGCUGUCUCACCUAACCUCUGAGUUUCGAGACUUCUCGAGGAAGCCUUACUUCUUUUGCUUUGGGCUCGAAAGGCUUUUGGGCCUCUUCUUUUCUUUUGGGCCAUUUCACAAUAUGGCAUCAGAGCAGGUUGCGAACCUGUUCUGGCUACGUUUUCCGUUGCAAUCUUGACUGUUUCUGCUUCUGGGUGUUCUUUCUUCGUUUGCUAUCUCUGCCAUGGCCAAUACGGAACAAACCAACAAUCCUUCCAGCCCCUAUUAUCUUCACCCGGGAGAAAACCCAGGUAUUUCACUUAUUUCACAGAUUCUUGAUGAAUCAAAUUAUACUUCUUGGAGCAGAAGUAUGAGAAGGGCGCUAUUAUCCAAAAACAAGCUGAAGUUUAUAAAUGGAGAGAUCAAGAAACCGAAAAGAGAGGAUGCUCUUUAUGAUGCUUGGGAAAGGAAUAAUAUGAUGGUAUUGUCUUGGAUUAUCAAGACUCUCUCGGUUCACAUAGCUGAAAGUGUUGUCUAUGUUGAAGAUGCUCAAGAACUAUGGGAGGAGUUAAAAGAGAGGUUCUCAAAGGGAGACCAUUUCAAAUUUUCAGAUUUGCUGCAAGAAAUUCACUCCAUCAAGCAAGGGGAGAGAACUGUGAAUCAGUAUUUCACAUAUUUGAAAAUACUGUGGGAAGAACUCGAAUUUUUGAGACCCAUUCCUAGUUGUAGCUACAAGAUUCCUUAUAGCUGUGAUCUUUCAAAAGCUGGGCACAAAUAUAGGGAGAUGGAACAUGUUAUAUGUUUCUUGAAAGGCCUAAAUGAUUGCUAUAAUACUGUUAGAACGCAGAUUUUGCUAAUGGAACCCCUACCCAACAUUAAUCGGGUCUUCUCCCUCAUCAUACAACAAGAGAGGCAAGAAAGGCAAGAAAAACAUGAAUCUGGACACACUAGCCAGACUGAAAUUAAGGUGCUUGCCAGCAACACUGACAAACAAAGUAAUUGGAAGAAUGAUCAAAACUGGAAGGGCUAUGGACGUGGUUUUUCUGGUCGUGGACAAGGAAGGGGCAGAGGAAGAAAUCCUAACCAAGGAAAGCAAUGUUCCUAUUGCCAUAAAAUGAAUCAUACCAUUGAGGAAUGUUAUUCUAAACAUGGAUAUCCUCCAUGGUACAAGAAAGGUGAUAAUAGCGGACAGAACAGCUUUGCUCAGAAUCAGUGGGGAAAUACUAAUGUUUGCACCACUACAGCUGACCCACAAAACAACCAACACUCACAGAGUAAUCAACAAAGCAAUUUUAACAGCAUUCAAAGUACUUUCACUCCAGAACAAAUGAAAAGACUUCUCGAAAUGUUAGACAGCACAGAAAAGUCCUCACACAGUGUCAGUCAAAUUCACAAAGAUAUCAUAGAGGAUANACAAGGUAUGUUUUCCUGGAUAAUGGACACAGGAGCUACAGAUCAUGUUACCCAUGAUAAAAAUUCAUUCACAACAUUUUAUAAAAUCAAACCUAUAUCUGUUAGAUUACCAAACAAAUCCACUGUCACAGCCCAUUAUGCUGGAACAGUGCAGUUUUCUCCAAAUUUUACUAUUUUCAAUGUUUUAUACAUACCAGAUUUCACUUUUAAUCUAAUAUCUGUCCAAUCCUUGACUAAAGACACAAAUUGCAUACUAACUUUCUCUUCUGAGUUAUGUAAAAUACAGGACAGAACCACAUUGAGGAUGAUUGGAUGUGUUAAAGUAUAUAAUGGGCUCUACUACUUACAAAAUGCUGCAAAGGAACCUAACUCUUAUGCAGAGGCCAGAGGAAGUCUUGAAUGGGUUGAUGCUAUGAACAAAGAAAUUAAAGCCUUGGAGUACAAUGGAACCUGGUUCUUGACUAAAUUACCUCCUGGUAAGAAAGCUAUAGGCUGUAAGUGGGUUUACAAGAUCAAACAUAGAGCUGAUGGGACUGUGGAGAGGUAUAAAUCUCGGUUAGUUGCAAAAGGAUAUACCCAACAGAGGGUAUAGAUUAUCUUGAUACAUUUUCACCAGUGGCUAAACUUACCACUAUGAGAUUACUUUUAGCUCUAGCCGCAUCAAAGAAAUGGUUUCUGCAGCAACUUGAUGUUGACAACGCAUUCCUACAUGGAGAUCUAAAUGAGGAUGUUUACAUGGAUCCUCCACCAGGUUUGAAUAUUAAUACUGAAGGGCAGGUUUGUAAACUAACAAAAUCCUUGUAUGGCCUAAAGCAGGCCAGCAGAUAGUGGUUUGAAAAACUAUCCAGUUUUCUUAUGUCUGCAGAUUACAUUCAGUCUAAGUCUGAUCAUUCUUUAUUUGUUAAGAAAACCCACACCAAUUUUACAGCUUUACUUGUAUAUGUUGAUGAUAUUGUUUUAGCAGGGAACUCUAUCAUAGAAAUCACUCAUAUAAAGACUCUUCUAGACCAACAGUUUCACAUAAAAGAUCUUGGAGAGCUUAAAUACUUUCUUGGCUUCGAAGUUGCCAGAUCUAAAAGCGGGAUACAUCUUUAUCAAAGGAAGUAUGCCCCAAACAUCUUAGAAGAAACGGGAAUGAUGGGUAGCAAACCUAGCUCCACCCCCUUUCUGAGUAACAACAAUUUCUUAUACAAGACAGAGAAUUACAUGGAAGAUCCUAGUAUCUAUCGAAGACUUAUAGGGAAGCUCUUCUAUCUCAUUAAUACUAGACUGGAUUUGUGUUUUACUGUUAAUCUCCUUAGUCAAUUUAUGCAAAAGCGCACUAAUUUUCACUACCAGGCUUUGUAGCACGCCCUGAGAUACAUCAAGGCCAGUCCCUCUGAAGGGCUUUUCUUCCCUGCAGACUCUAGCAUUCAGAUAAAAGGGUUCAGUGACUCUGACUGGGCCACUUGUCCCAAUACGCGUAGAUCCACUACCGGAUACUGUGUCUUCCUAGGAGCAUCUCUUGUUUCAUGGAGGUCAAAGAAACAGAGCAUUGUUUCUAGGUCAUCCACAGAGGCUGAAUAUUGCGCCUUAGCUGCUAUCGUUUGUGAAAUGUAGUGGCUGCAUUACAUUCUCCAAGACCUUCACAUUCAACCCGAAGCUGAUGUUGUCCUUUACUGCGGCAACAGUUCUGCAAGGCACAUCGCCCAUAACCAAAGCUUCCAUGAGCGCACGAAACACAUUGAGCUGGACUGCCAUGUCGUUCGCGAGAAGAUUCAAUCCAAGUUCUUACGUUUACUGCCUAUUAGAUCAGAGGACCAACUUGCUGAUNUUUUCACCAAGUUCCCUCACCGCACACGGUUCAAAUCCAUUAUCCCCAAGCUUGGCUUAGUGAAUAUCCACCAUCCAGCUUGAGGGGAGGGUAUUAAUGUUUGCUCUUUUAGGUUGUUACUCCGAAGAGUAACAUUAGGUGUUUUCUGUUUCUCUGAUAGGGAUCUUUUAGUUCCCCCUCANCGGGUUCCUUAUAUAAAGGUCUUCCGGUUUUAUUUCUUUGUAAGUAACACAUUCAGCUUUCAAUAAUAAACAGUUUUUACCUUUACGAUUGCUCUCACCUCUUCCGCGCUUCUUCUUUCUCUCUUCUGUUUCUGGUUUUCUUUCCCGUUGGUUGAUCUCUUGUCUCCUUCGUUGCCGGACCACCAUGGAUGUCUUGCUGAUGAAGAUCUCUCUCGAACACGCCUCGAAUGUCGCUGUCUCACCUAACCUCUGAGUUUCGAGACUUCUCGAGGAAGCCUUACUUCUUUCGCUUUGGGCCCGAAAGGCUUUUGGGCCUCUUCUUUUCUUUUGGGCCAUUUCACAAUACUCUUUUUGACAAGAGGAAAAAGUAAAUAACUAUUUUCUCAAUGCAAACAGGUCGAGUUGAAGCUACAUUUUAGGAUAGAGUUCCUAAAAUGAAAUCGUUUGCACAUUUGUAUAAUUUAUUUUAGUUUUGUAUGCAUAGGUCUAUAAUGAUAACAAAAUAAUUGAAACAUCAAAUGCAUGCUUCAAAUUCGAUUUAUUGUGAUAAGAUGUGAACUAUAUACUAUU